AGACCGAUAGCGAACAAGUAGAGUGAUCGAAAGAUGAAAAGCACUUUGAAAAGAGAGUUAAACAGUAUGUGAAAUUGUUGAAAGGGAAGCGCUUACAACCAGACUUGAGCGCGACGGUUCCCCCUUCCUUUUGGUUGGGCUACUCCGUCGUGUCCAGGCCAACAUCGGUUUUGGGGGUCGGUUAAAGGCGCCGGGAAUGUAUCUACCCUUCGGGCGUAGACUUAUAGCCCGGCGUGUCAUGCGACCUCCCGGGACCGAGGAACGCGCUUCGGCUCGGAUGUUGGCGUAAUGGUUGUCAGCNACCCGUCUUGAAACACGGACCAAG
RNAcentral lists this ribosomal RNA (325 nucleotides) under Cladosporium sp. CL146. RNAcentral's name for it is "LSU rRNA". It matches the Rfam family "Eukaryotic large subunit ribosomal RNA", at positions 331 to 670 of the family's 3401-position model. Lineage: Eukaryota; Fungi; Ascomycota; Dothideomycetes; Cladosporiales; Cladosporiaceae. The record is from RNAcentral.